UUCGGGAGCGCAUGGACAGGUGCUGCAUGGCUGUCGUCAGCUCGUGUCGUGAGACGUUGGGUUAAGUUCCGCAACGAGCGCAACCCUCGUCGUUAGUUGCUAACAGUUCGGCUGAGAACUCUAACGAGACUGCCUGGGUAACCAGGAGGAAGGUGAGGACGACGUCAAGUCAUCAUGGCCCUUACGUCCAGGGCUACACACGUGCUACAAUGGGGCAUACAAAGAGCAGCGAUACCGCGAGGUGGAGCAAAUCUCAAAAAUGCCUCCCAGUUCGGAUAGUAGUCUGCAACUCGACUACUUGAAGUUGGAAUCACUAGUAAUCGUAGAUCAGCAAUGCUACGGUGAAUACGUUCCCGGGCCUU
This 362-nucleotide ribosomal RNA is filed under the name uncultured bacterium. RNAcentral's name for it is "bacterial SSU rRNA". It matches the Rfam family "Bacterial small subunit ribosomal RNA", at positions 1019 to 1382 of the family's 1533-position model. The record is from RNAcentral.